AAAUCAAGCUGGGUAAUCGCCCUUUUACAAGGGAGGAAAGUCCGGGCUCCGAUGAACAUGACGCUGGGUAACUCCCAGGCACCGGUUAAACGGUGACGGAAAGUGGCACAGAAACUAAACCGCCUACUAAUAGUGGGUAAGGGUGAAAACGUACGGUAAGAGCGUACGGCCUUAGAAGGUGACUUCUAGGUGGCUAAACCCCGUCUGGAGCAAGGCCAAAUAGGGAACUGAUGAAUGUUCGUAUCGUAUGUAGGUUCCGGGUAGGCUGCUUGACCCCAAUGGCAACAUUCCUAAUGUAGGGUACUAAUGGUACGGGGCUAGAUAGAUGAUUACCGCCUCUGAAGAGGUACAGAACCCGGCUUAUAGGCUUGAUUAUCGC
RNAcentral lists this RNase P RNA (379 nucleotides) under SAR202 cluster bacterium. Its description in RNAcentral is "RNase P RNA component class A". It matches the Rfam family "Bacterial RNase P class A". From Rfam's summary of the family: Ribonuclease P (RNase P) is a ubiquitous endoribonuclease, found in archaea, bacteria and eukarya as well as chloroplasts and mitochondria. Lineage: Bacteria; Bacillati; Chloroflexota; Dehalococcoidia. The record is from RNAcentral.